This is a long non-coding RNA of Notothenia coriiceps (black rockcod), 290 nucleotides long. RefSeq lists it as uncharacterized. Lineage: Eukaryota; Metazoa; Chordata; Actinopteri; Perciformes; Nototheniidae. The record is from RefSeq and is a predicted model, not a curated record. The transcript is spliced from 3 exons.
UGUUCCCUCGUAGCCGCGUUGGAGGGUUUGUGUUCAGCCUCGGUCAUAUUCCAUUACCCAGGAGGCACGGCGGGGAAGAAAGCGGGACGCAAGCCGAGCAUCUCUCAGCCGGCUGACAGCGGGAAACGCCACCGACCAGGGGCUCAGGAGGUUCUCAUUGACCCAGGCGCCCUCACAGCGAAUGGCAUCAGUGCGGACACGAGCACUGAGAUCGGACGAGCCAAGAACUGCUUGAGUGCCGAGGACAUCAUCGAGAAAUACAAGGAGGCCAUCUCCUACUAUGGGAAGGU